CAGUAGCCGCGGGAAUACGGAUGGAGCUAGCGUUAUUCGGAAUUACUGGGCGUAAAGCGCACGUAGGCGGCUUUGUAAGUUAGAGGUGAAAGCCUGGAGCUCAACUCCAGAAUUGCCUUUAAGACUGCCGAGCUAGCAGGUGAGAGAGGUAAGUGGAAUUCCGAGUGUAGAGGUGAAAUUCGUAGAUAUUCGGAAGAACACCAGUGGCGAAGGCGGCUUACUGGCUCAUACUGGACGCUGAGGUGCGAAAGCGUGGGGAGCAAACAGGUUUAGAUACCCGCGUAGUCCCUGUCUCUUAUAC
RNAcentral lists this ribosomal RNA (301 nucleotides) under uncultured bacterium. RNAcentral describes it as "partial 16S ribosomal RNA". It matches the Rfam family "Bacterial small subunit ribosomal RNA", at positions 509 to 807 of the family's 1533-position model. The record is from RNAcentral.